This 613-nucleotide ribosomal RNA is filed under the name uncultured Tremellales. Its description in RNAcentral is "eukaryotic LSU rRNA". The stretch from base 100 to 253 matches the Rfam family "5.8S ribosomal RNA". Lineage: Eukaryota; Fungi; Basidiomycota; Tremellomycetes; Tremellales. The record is from RNAcentral.
UCACGGGGCUUAUAACUAUUCCAAACCUCUGUGAACCGUGCCCUUCGGGGCUAUUUUACAAACAUGGUGUAAUGCACGUCACAUAUCAUAACAAAACAAAACUUUCAACAACGGAUCUCUUGGCUCUCGCAUCGAUGAAGAACGCAGCGAAAUGCGAUAAGUAAUGUGAAUUGCAGAAUUCAGUGAAUCAUCGAAUCUUUGAACGCACCUUGCGCCCUCUGGUAUUCCGGAGGGCAUGCCUGUUUGAGUGUCAUGUAGACUCAAUCCCUCGGGUUUCCGAGGAGAUUGGACUUGGGUGUUGCCGCUCUGCCGGCUCGCCUUAAAAGACUUAGCGGGAUAGCACCGUAGUCGGCGUAAUAAGUUUCGUCGGUGAAGGCUGUGAUGACUGCUUACAAUCGCCCUCGGGCAAUUUUUGACUCUGACCUCAAAUCAGGUAGGACUACCCGCUGAACUUAAGCAUAUCAAUAAGCGGAGGAAAAGAAACUAACAAGGAUUCCCUUAGUAGCGGCGAACGAAGCGGGAAGAGCUCAAAUUUGAAAGCUGGCGUCCUUCGGGCGUCCGCAUUGUAAUCUAUAGAGGCGUUUUCUGUGCUGGACCGUGUACAAGUCUCCUG